This 73-nucleotide transfer RNA is filed under the name bacterium. RNAcentral describes it as "tRNA-Arg". It matches the Rfam family "tRNA". Rfam says of the family: Transfer RNA (tRNA) molecules are approximately 80 nucleotides in length. Their secondary structure includes four short double-helical elements and three loops (D, anti-codon, and T loops). Further hydrogen bonds mediate the characteristic L-shaped molecular structure. tRNAs have two regions of fundamental functional importance: the anti-codon, which is responsible for specific mRNA codon recognition, and the 3' end, to which the tRNAs corresponding amino acid is attached (by aminoacyl-tRNA synthetases). tRNAs cope with the degeneracy of the genetic code in two manners: having more than one tRNA (with a specific anti-codon) for a particular amino acid; and 'wobble' base-pairing, i.e. permitting non-standard base-pairing at the 3rd anti-codon position. The record is from RNAcentral.
GCGCCCAUAGUUUAAUGGAUCAGAAUAAGGGCUUGCGGAGCCUUUGAUGGAAGUUCGAUUCUUCCUGGGCGCA